CAAUAGCGUAUAUUAAAGUGGUUGCAGUUAAAAAGCUCGUAGUUGGAUUUCUGGUGGGAGCGAUCGGUCUGGCGCUUAGCGCGAGUACUUGCAUCGUCUCCGGCCAUCCUUGGGGAGAGUCUGUCUGGCAUUAAGUUGUCGGGCAGAGGAUCCUCAUCGUUUACUGUGAAAAAAUUAGAGUGUUCAAAGCAGGCUUAUGCCGUUGAAUAUAUUAGCAUGGAAUAAUAAGAUAGGACUUUGGUACUAUUUUGUUGGUUUGCGCACCAAAGUAAUGAUUAAUAGGGACAGUUGGGGGUAUUCGUAUUCCGUUGUCAGAGGUGAAAUUCUUGGAUUUACGGAAGACGAACUACUGCGAAAGCAUUUACCAAGGAUGUUUUCACUAA
Molecule: ribosomal RNA, 383 nt
Filed under: uncultured eukaryote
Lineage: Eukaryota
Description: partial 18S ribosomal RNA
Rfam family: Eukaryotic small subunit ribosomal RNA
Source: RNAcentral